UACGAAGGGGGCUAGCGUUGUUCGGAAUUACUGGGCGUAAAGGGCUCGUAGGUGGCCAACUAAGUCAGACGUGAAAUCCCUCGGCUUAACCGGGGAACUGCGUCUGAUACUGGAUGGCUUGAGUUCGGGAGAGGGAUGCGGAAUUCCAGGUGUAGCGGUGAAAUGCGUAGAUAUCUGGAGGAACACCGGUGGCGAAGGCGGCAGCCUGGACCGACACUGACACUGAGGAGCGAAAGCCAGGGGAGCAAACGGG
RNAcentral lists this ribosomal RNA (253 nucleotides) under uncultured bacterium. RNAcentral describes it as "partial 16S ribosomal RNA". It matches the Rfam family "Bacterial small subunit ribosomal RNA", at positions 524 to 776 of the family's 1533-position model. The record is from RNAcentral.